This 126-nucleotide small RNA is filed under the name Salmonella enterica. Its description in RNAcentral is "RtT sRNA". It matches the Rfam family "RtT RNA". From Rfam's summary of the family: This family represents a bacterial cis-regulatory element known as RtT RNA. The exact function of RtT is unknown although it is thought that it may be involved in changing the cellular response in relation to amino acid starvation. The record is from RNAcentral. Lineage: Bacteria; Pseudomonadati; Pseudomonadota; Gammaproteobacteria; Enterobacterales; Enterobacteriaceae.
UUGCUAUCUGCGAUAUGGAAGAUUCGAACCUGCCGCAGGUUCGGGUCUCACGUAGUGAGACAACGGAGCCGCUUGCGGCGACGGCCCGAAGGGCGAGCAAAGCGAGUCAUCCUACACGACCCACCA